Molecule: ribosomal RNA, 253 nt
Filed under: uncultured bacterium
Lineage: Bacteria
Description: partial 16S ribosomal RNA
Rfam family: Bacterial small subunit ribosomal RNA
Source: RNAcentral
UACGUAGGGUGCAAGCGUUUUCCGGAAUUAUUGGGCGUAAAGAGCUCGUAGGCGGUUUGUCGCGUCUGCUGUGAAAUUUCGAGGCUCAACCUCGAACUUGCAGUGGGUACGGGCAGGCUAGAGUGCGGUAGGGGAGAUGGGAAUUCCUGGUGUAGCGGUGGAAUGCGCAGAUAUCAGGAGGAACACCAAUGGCGAAGGCACAUCUCUGGGCCGUAACUGACGCUGAGGAGCGAAAGCGUGGGGAGCGAACAGG